RNA transcript from Lagenorhynchus albirostris (white-beaked dolphin), 3479 nucleotides. It is a transcript of the gene named Fas cell surface death receptor, with no coding region annotated. NCBI's taxonomy places the organism in Eukaryota, Metazoa, Chordata, Mammalia, Artiodactyla, Delphinidae. The transcript has 9 exons. The record is from RefSeq and is a predicted model, not a curated record.
CCGGGCCCGGGGACCUUUCUGUAAGUCUUUUCGGGUCUCUCAGAAGAGACACGCAGGUGCUCGGAGACGCUGCUGGAGAAAGAGAAAAGCGCUACCGGAGUAACUGUGCGUGAGCGCCCCGGGGCGGGUCCCGGCGGGAACACUCUCUCAGGCUGGCUGGAGCGCGGGGAGGGGCCCGGCGGGGCUGGCACUUCUCACGGGGUGUGUGACCCGCUCGGGUGCCAGUUGGAGAGGCUCCUUCACUUUGGCGAUUGCUCCACAGCCAUGUCCGAGAUCUGGGUUCUCUGGCCACUGAUAUUUACCUCCAUUGCUGGACCAUUGUCUAAAGGUGAUAAUUCCCAUGUGGCUGAUAGCAACUCUGAGAUGCUGAAAUUGAGUAAGAAUAUUACUAAAAGGGAGAGCUGCGGUGAAGGCCUGUAUCGUGAGCACGAAUUUUGUUGUCAGCCGUGUCCUCCUGGCAAACGGAAAAGUGAUGAUUGCAAAAUUGAUGGAGGUGAACCAGAAUGUGUACUCUGUGCAGAGGGGGUGGAGUACACAGACAAGAACCAUCAUUCUUUUAACUGCAGAAGAUGUAGAGUUUGUGAUGGAGAACAUGGCCUAGAAGUGGAAAAAAACUGUACCCGGACCCAGAAUACCAAGUGCAGAUGUAAACCAAACUUUUUUUGUAACGUAUCUCUGUGCGAACACUGUAACCCUUGUACCACGUGUGAACAUGGAAUCAUUGAGAAAUGCACACCAACCAGCAACACCAAAUGCAGAGAAGGAUCCAGAUCUAACUUACACAUUUUAUGGGUCCUCCUGAUCCUCAUACCUGCACUACUAUACAGGGGUAAGUUCUUACUUUGUUCAAACUGUAGAUUGAAGUAACUUGGGAAGUAGUUGUUCACAAGAAUUCCCUCCUGUCUCCUACCUACCAGGAGAAAGAAAGCUCCUACCAGGUAGGCAGCUCUGGUAUGGUGUUAAAUUCCUGUUUCUAAAUGCACCCCUGAGAGCUGGUAAGAACAGAUGAUGUUAUCUCUCAGCUACUGUUUUUGAGCAACCAUUCUGGGGCACUGAUUGGGUGUUCCCACCCUCCCCAUGAACAAGGGUAUUUGUAUUUAGGCAGUAGCUGAGUUGGCCAAGAAUCGGAAGUAGUCCUUCAGUCUACAUUGAGAUCAUCCCAUGCACAAAGAGAAUUCAAGGAGCGAAGGCAUUGCAGGGGACACUUGAUAAAUUCACCCCUGUCUGUGCCUCCUUUCUCUUGUCCAGACUCCAUGCUUUUUGAUUAUUUCUCCACCUUAAUUUAAAAUACUGUGGCAAUACCUUUUAUGCGAGGGUUACUUAGUAAAGUCAGCACGUAAACCAAAAUUGGCUAUACUUAUAAUUACUCUAGAAAAAUCCCUUUAGAUCAUUCAUACAACACAUGGUGGUGCCAACUUUCAAUAACUCUGAAACAUCCAAUUUUUCUUUUUCUGUUGGAACAAAUCACUGUUUCUCCAGGUCAGCUGAAGAUAAAGAGAUUGCCUUGCCAUUAGAGAUUGUUUAACUAAAAAUAUAAACACUUAAAUUGUGCUUGGAGACUUCUAGAUUUCUUUCUUCCACCUCAUACUGACUUCAAGGCAUACACUUAUUGAGUAUAUAUAUUUGAAUUAUUUGUGAGUGUGUGUACUUGAGUUUUGGGGCAUUGAAUGCCACUUCAUGGCAAACUGAUGUCGACUUUCCAUAGCCUAUGGCUUCUGUGCCCAGCUUCAAGCCAGAGAGAGGGAGUGGUGAUGGCCAUACAAUAAGUCAAAAGCCAGCUUCAGGCUAGGCCAGUGUGUGGUAACUGGAUGGCUCCAUUAAGGUGUGGCAUAUCUCUAGACCACUUGACUCGGUGGGAUGGAAUUUUCAAAAUCAGGACGAAUCUGCCUCUUUGGUGCUCGGUUGCUUUAAAUUUCAAUGAAAGAGUUUCUCCUUUCUUCUCACACUUCUCUUAGUCUGAGAGUAUAUUCUCACAUGCUUCCUACAAGGCUGAGACCUGAGUCUGAUAGAAAUUUCUUGGAUCUUUCAGAGGUGAAAAGACGGCGCAGGAAUAGAAAGAAUGGUCACCAGAAAUCUAUCGCCUCAAAUACUGAAAUGAUGCCACUGAAUUUCACAGAUUUGUAGAGCUAAUAUGUUUACAGGCGUUGAGCAUCUCAUGGUUCUGCCUUCAAGGAUGUUUAAAAUCUAGCUGGGAAGACAGACACAGUUAAGAGUAAAUACAGGGGCAUGUCAAGUGCGCAAAAAAGAACGUAUGCAAAGGACAAAAGAUUUCAGAUCAUGUUCAAGUAUCUAACAUAUGAUUCUGUAAGUAUGAAUGUAAUUAACAUAUGUAAAUACAAAUGCCUAUCCACAGGCUGACCUCAUUCCAUAAAUCAGUAGAUGUGAUCUUUUGUUGUCCUGUCACAAUCAACUGGCUCUAAAUGACCUCCCCAGCUCCACUGAUAAUUCUAGAGAUUUUACCAUAUUUGUAAAUUUUGUUUAGUUUUGAGAGGAGCGUACUCAGGGAAAACUUACACAUACAUCUGAAUGUAGAAUAUAAUAAAGUUCUACCUCAAAGGUCUUUGCACAGAUUAUUGGCAUUUCAUGGUGAAAUAUUUCAAUUUUGAAUUCACAUAGAAAAUGCAGACUCAGUUAUAAUGCUUGGCUAUUUUAUAUUUGUUUGUCACUUUGGAUCAAAAUAAUCCACUUCUUUCUCAGGUGUCAAAACAUUUUGAUCAGGAAAGAAUUACUAGAUCAUUGGCACCUCUCCAUUUUCUCCUUGAUGUGCGUCUUGGUGGCCUGUGCACCCCCAGACUUGGAAGGACUGCCUAAGAAACACUUAACUGAUUCAUGCAAAGCUGGGACUGCCCUUGGAAACACCUAGCUUAGUUUGGAGAGACUAACUGGUCUUACGGAAGGUAGCUUUGUGGCAUAGCACGAACCCAUGUCUACCACCAAAGCUGAUAAGUAGAGGCCAAGCACAGCCUGGAGUAGUAGGUCAAGACGCAGUCUGGAAUCAGGCAAAUCCAAGUUCAAUUUCUGGCUCUGCCACAAACUAACUUACAGCCUUGAAUUGAACAUCUCCAAGUUUCUGUUUCCUCAUCUAGAAGAUGAAAGACACAUCUGGCUUACCCUUCUUGUGACUUGGAGAGGAACAAGAAGAAAAUACAUGGGCAAGUGUAAUAAAUUAUAAUGUACUAUGGAACGAGUUGUUAACUAUUAAUGUGCCUAAGAAUCACCUGAGGAAAUUUUGAAACUGCAUAUUUCCCAGGUCUUGCACCCAGAGAUGUUCCGUAGAUCCAGGGCCGUGCCUGGGAAUGUGCAUAUUACCAAGCACCCUUGAUAAUCAUCAUGCUGAAGGCCCUUGGACCGUAAUUUAAGAAACCGCAUUAUACAAAUACAUACGAGUAGAAAGAGAGAUUAAGGCACAGAAGUUAUUCUUAACUCCCUUUGUAAUGGCACGUAUUAUUUUCUAUUUUGAAUAAAAUUUUAUGAAAUCC